Molecule: non-coding RNA, 148 nt
Organism: Pan troglodytes (chimpanzee)
Lineage: Eukaryota; Metazoa; Chordata; Mammalia; Primates; Hominidae
Rfam family: Metazoan signal recognition particle RNA
About the family: The signal recognition particle (SRP) is a universally conserved ribonucleoprotein. It is involved in the co-translational targeting of proteins to membranes.
Source: Rfam
GCCGGGUGUGGUGGCGCGCUCCUGUAGUCCCAGCUACUCAGGAGGCUGAGGCAGGAGAAUCGUUUGAACCCGGGAGGUAGAGGCUACAGUGAGCUGAGAUCGCGCCACUGCCCUCCAGCCUGGGUGACAGAACGAGACUCUGUCUCAA